RNAcentral lists this ribosomal RNA (377 nucleotides) under Ingerophrynus galeatus (bony-headed toad). RNAcentral describes it as "partial 12S ribosomal RNA". It matches the Rfam family "Bacterial small subunit ribosomal RNA", at positions 794 to 1384 of the family's 1533-position model. The record is from RNAcentral. Lineage: Eukaryota; Metazoa; Chordata; Amphibia; Anura; Bufonidae.
GCCCAGCCGUAAACUUUUAUUUACACCUAAAUCGCCAGGGAACUACGAGCUAAGCUUAAAACCCAAAGGACUUGACGGUACCCCAUAUCCCCCUAGAGGAGCCUGUCCUAUAAUCGAUAAUCCACGUUUAACCUCACCAUUUCUAGUUAAUCAGCCUGUAUACCUCCGUCGUCAGCUUACCACGUGAGCGCUUCUUAGUGAGCUUAAUGUUUUUCACCAAUACGUCAGGUCAAGGUGCAGCAAAUGUAAUGGGAAGAGAUGGGCUACACUUUCUACCCUAGAAAAAACGAAAGACUACUUAUGAAAUCUAGUUGGAAGGCGGAUUUAGCAGUAAAAAGGAAUCAGCAUGUCCAUUUUAACCCGGCACUGGGGUGUGU